GCUGGGUGUGGUGGAGCACACCAGUAAUCCCAGUGGCUUGGGAGGCUGAGGCAGGAGGAUGGAGAGUUCAAAGCCAGCCUCAG
This 83-nucleotide small RNA is filed under the name Marmota monax (woodchuck). Lineage: Eukaryota; Metazoa; Chordata; Mammalia; Rodentia; Sciuridae. The record is from RNAcentral.